UGCAACCCGCCUGCGUGAAGUUGGAAUCGCUAGUAAUCGCGGAUCAGCAUGCCGCGGUGAAUACGUUCCCGGGCCUUGUACACACCGCCCGUCACACCAUGAGAGUCGGGAACACCCGAAGUCCGUAGCCUAACUUUAACGAGGGGCGCGGCCAAGGUGGGUUCGAUAAUUGGGGUGAAGUCGUAACAAGGUAAC
Molecule: ribosomal RNA, 195 nt
Filed under: uncultured bacterium
Lineage: Bacteria
Description: partial 16S ribosomal RNA
Rfam family: Bacterial small subunit ribosomal RNA
Source: RNAcentral